Pelobates cultripes (western spadefoot toad) is the source of this 746-nucleotide non-coding RNA. The record is from the annotation of a GenBank genome assembly. Lineage: Eukaryota; Metazoa; Chordata; Amphibia; Anura; Pelobatidae.
AUUAAAAAUAUAUGGAUAUCUUGCAUUACCAUCCAACACAUUUUUUUUUCUUUUUGUUUCUUCAAAACCCUCGAGAACAAUGUGCUGCCACUCAAAUGUAGUUCUUUUAUGAUAUGUUUGGUUACAUUAUGUUGUUUCCCACAAUGUUCUGUCUCAACUAUUUAACAUUAACUAGAUGUUUUUGCUUGGAUUGUUGUAAUAUGCUUUGGUACGGUUUGCUCAGCUUUCCAGGUACAAUGAAGCGAGGACCAAGUAUGAAUUCAAUUGUAAUCUAAUGUUAAGAGACAUUUUGGAAUAUAAUAAGCCAUGCGUGACUGUAUAAUAUUGCUACAUAACCAAACAGAACUUGACAUACCCUGAUUUUCAGUGGUUUGUUCAUAUGACGAGAUUGCUGCCAUCUCCUGACGCUCAAAUCACUCAAAUCAAGAACAUUUUAUUCUCCUACACUGUCAUGUUCUUAUGGACUCAUUUGAUUUAUUUUACAGUAUAUGUAAUAAAUCAUUAAUUUAACUUGUUUCCUCUUCAGUCUUUGAGGACAAUGAAUGUCAUGUUCCCAAAAGUGGUAUGUAUAAUGGUUUCAAGUAAGUAUUGCCUAAUCAGAAAUUUUGAUAUCACAUUAUUAAAAAGUAUAGGUGAAAAAAUACACAUUUGUUGUUCAGUUUUAAUUGUCAACAAAGCUAACACUUGUACUGAUUUUUAUCAUGUUUGGAGGAAAGUAUCCUCACAUCUCAAAGUGUUGUUCCUUG